Molecule: RNA transcript, 9910 nt
Organism: Cervus elaphus (red deer)
Lineage: Eukaryota; Metazoa; Chordata; Mammalia; Artiodactyla; Cervidae
Gene: SLC22A15
Gene name: solute carrier family 22 member 15
Exons: 12
Source: RefSeq, a predicted model, not a curated record
AGGAGGAAAGAAAUGUUAAACAGCAUUCUUCUCCGAAGGAUCUAGAACCCACUUCCACUUCCUGUAUUUAAACGAUUUGUACAAAAGGACAAAUUUUACCAGCGGUCACCGGGUCUCCCAACUGUCAUUGCGCCCCAGAGCCCCCAAAGCGGGGGGCGGGCAGGCCGUGGUUUAGACGAGGAGGCCGCCCUUCGCCUUAUUUCUCCAUCAGAGAGGAUGUCUACACCGGAACCCACUUCCUCUUUCCUCUCGUUUUAAGCCGCUUUAACCUCCGUUUUAACCCACCCUCUCAGAAGGAAAUUAACAGAUAGCUCCGAGGCCCGGGGAACCGGCGUCCCGCCCCAGACUCGCGAGCUAACGCGGCCCUCGGCCCCGCCCGCGCCAACGCGCCGCCCGCCCCGCCCUGCCCGCGCUCUCACGCCGCUCCUCGGGGCUCGCUGGCUGGGCCGAGCGGGUGCCUAGCGCACCGGGCCGGCCGGGGAGGGCCACGCCGGAGCCGGGCUGGCGGAGGGCGGGCCGGGGCCGCUGCCAGGAUCCAGCUGGGUGCUGGGCCAGGGCCAAACGCUCGGCCCGCCAUGGAGGUGGAGGAGGCGUUCCAGGCGGUGGGCGAGAUGGGCAUCUACCAGAUGUACCUGUGCUUCCUGCUGGCCGUGCUGCUGCAGCUCUACGUGGCCACGGAAGCCAUCCUCAUUGCGCUGGUCGGGGCCACACCGUCGUACCACUGGGACCUGGCGGAGCUCCUGCCCAACCAGAGUCACAGCAACCAGUCGGCUGGUGAAGACCAGGCCCUUGGGGCCUGGCUCCUGACGGCCAACGGCAGCGAGAUGCACAAGCAUGUGCACUUCAGUAGCAGCUUUACCUCCAUCGCCUCCGAGUGGUUUUUAAUUGCCAACAGAUCUUACAAAGUGAGCGCAGCAAGCUCUUUUUUCUUCAGUGGUGUGUUUGUGGGAGUUAUCACUUUUGGUCAACUCUCUGAUCGCUUCGGAAGGAAAAAAGUCUAUCUCACAGGUUUUGCUCUUGACAUCUUGUUUGCUAUUGCAAAUGGCUUUUCCCCCUCCUAUGAGUUCUUUGCAAUAACUCGCUUCCUGGUGGGCAUGAUGAACGGAGGGAUGUCGCUGGUGGCCUUUGUCCUGCUGAACGAGUGUGUGGGCACCGCCUACUGGGCACUCGCAGGGUCAAUUGGUGGCCUCUUCUUCGCAGUCGGCAUCGCCCAAUAUGCCCUGUUGGGAUACUUCAUCCGUUCCUGGAGGACCCUAGCCAUACUGGUUAACCUGCAGGGAACAGUGGUCUUUCUCUUAUCUUUAUUCAUUCCUGAAUCACCUCGUUGGUUAUACUCCCAGGGUCGACUGCGUGAGGCUGAAGCCGCUCUGUACCUCAUCGCCAAGAGGAACCGCCAGCUCAAGUGCACCUUCUCACUAACACACCCGGCCAACAGGAGCUGCAAGGAGACCGGCAGCUUCCUGGACCUGUUCCGUUACCGGGUCCUCUUGGGGCACACUCUGACCCUGAUGUUCAUCUGGUUUGUGUGCAGCCUGGUGUAUUAUGGCCUCACCCUGAGUGCAGGUGAUCUAGGUGGAAACAUUUAUGCCAACUUAGCCCUGUCUGGCCUCAUAGAGAUUCCAUCUUACCCUGUCUGCAUCUACUUGAUUAACCAAAGAUGGUUUGGUCGGAAGAGGACAUUGGCAGCAUUUCUAUGCCUCGGAGGAUUGGCUUGUCUCAUUGUCAUGUUUCUUCCAGAAAAGAAAGACACAGGUGUGUUUGCCGUGGUGAACAGCCAUUCCUUGUCCCUGCUGGGAAAGCUGACCAUCAGCGCUGCCUUCAACAUUGUGUAUAUCUACACCUCGGAGCUAUACCCCACAGUCAUCAGGAAUGUUGGGCUUGGAACUUGCUCCAUGUUCUCCCGAGUUGGUGGGAUCAUUGCUCCCUUCAUCCCCUCACUGGUUGAAGUAUGUGCAGUGGUCUUUACCCUUCAUUGUCUUUGGAGCCACAGGGCUGACCUCAGGCCUCCUGAGUUUAUUAUUGCCAGAAACCCUUAACAGCCCAUUGCUGGAGACAUUUUCUGACCUUCAGGUAUACUCAUAUCGGAGGCUAGGGGAGGAAGCAUUAUCUUUGCAGACCUUGGAUCCCCCUCAGUCUGUGGACAAGGAGAGCCCUUUAGGGAGCGAGAGUGACGAAGAGGAAGAGUUUUAUGAUGCGGAUGAAGAGACUCAGAUGAUCAAGUGAGGAACCCCCAGGUUCCUCCUCAGAAGCAGAGGAUCAUUUUCUGUGCCUCUGUCUAGGGCAGGUGCUCCUGGGAAAUUGCAGAGAGCUGUGGAAAGAAAGGCUUGAACAAACAGAAGGUACUCUGUGUGGCCUGAUGUUUUAUAGGCACCAAGGAAGUUGGAGAAGAGAUUUCCAUGAACCGGACAUCACUGCCUUGAGUAAAAAGCUAUUAUUUGCCUACAAUUGAGGUAUAGUGCAGAAUCAUGACCUUUGGCCAGAUUGCUCAAUUCUGCAUGCCAGAGUGGUAAGCUCAGUUGUUUCUAGAAGUUUGAUUAUGUUGCCUUUCAACUUCAUUGUGACCUAAAGGCAAAUAUGUAAAAUUUCUUCUCACCGUUAAGAUGGAAUCUGUGUACCAGAGUUGGCAUCUGCCCCUCUAGCGGUUGCUCCUCACUAGGAAUCUUUGGAGGCAAGUUGAUGUUAGCAUUGCAUUCAUUUUUGUGCCAGAAGAAAAGCAUUGAGAAAUCAUUUGUAUGACCUGAGGCCCUCCAGCUUCAGCCCAGGAGAUGAAAUCUGGGCCCUCAACUUGGUCCCUGGUCCAGUGAUUGGUUCCAGCUCCUUGUGUUAGUCUGACAGAUGACCCACUAGAAAAAUCCAGCUGCACCAAAGUAACGUUCAGAGUCCGAGGUGUGGCUGCACCCCCUCCAACCCCCCAGCAGCUCCCUCUGAUACUCAAAUUUCCAUCUCAGAUUCUAGUACCAGCAAAACUUCCAGACAUGCCCAGUAAAUGAUGACAUUUUUAUAAAGGGGAAGGGCAGUUAAAAAGUGACAUGUCGAGCCCUUCUUUUGAGCCCUUGGAUGCUUAAAGGGGAGAAAAAAGAUGUCGUUUUUAAUAAGGAAGAAAAGAAAAUGAUCUUUCACAAUGUUAUGUUUGUUUUGUCUUUAGUGUUGUGCAAGGAGGGACUUGGGCAGCCUUUAAGGGCUUGAGCUCCUUUAGUCCUAGGUCAGCCCCAGCCUACUGAGUUUAGCUAGAAUGGAAGGCACAGGAAUUUCCUAGGAAAUGUUGGUUUUCUUUAAGUACUACCAGCUUUCAAAUAAAAUCUGUCGUACUCUGUUUCCUUAAAUCAUGUGCUGGAAGUGUUUCCUGUGAAACUCGAGUGUUAUCUCAAAAAGAAGUGUUAUCUUGGAGUCAACAAGCUUAGACAGCGUUGCUUUAGGUCAGUUUCCCAACUGGGACCGUUUCUGUGUUUUCAGAAUUUCCAUUUCUGCUAAUCUCUUGGAGAAAAAGAAAUUUCAUUAGAAAUAGAAGUCAUCACUGUGUCUGUUUCUGGAAAUCUUGGAGGACUCACCUCGAAUUGGCUCCAACCCUCUCCUGUCUUCUUCCAUUUACCUCUUGGUUUGUACUAUACUAGCCUGAACCUAUGUAUUUGUUAAAGUGUUUUAUAUCCUUCAUGCCCUUAUGUAUGGGGUUCUUUAUAAAUAAGAAGCAUCUCUACUGCUGUUUAUUUCUCUCCGCUGUGCCCAGAACACAAUAUGUAUUGCUGUUUCUAGCCGUCAAGGAAGUUGUAGAACUCCUGUAGUAUCGUUUUUGUCCAUCACAGGCGAACCUGACCCAAACCCCCAAGCUGUGGAAUCUUGGCAUCUUUCUCUGGGAGAUGGAGACCCUGCCCACCAUCAAGAGAAGAAGAAAGGAAGAACUUACAAGGACACUUAGAAGCUCUUUGUUGUGAAGUUAAACGUAAAACAACAAGCUAACAUAUAGGUGAUUCUUGGCUGGUUGUCAGCCUCUUUGCAUUAUAAGAGUAAUAACCCCAUUAUCAAAAAAUGUGGAAAUUAGAGGUUAAAAGAUGUAUUACUCAUAGACUCAAUACCCAGAGACAGCCGGUGCUGUGGCUUUGUUCUCUUUGAAGACUAACUGGUAAUCCAUCUUUUUUGUUGGCACUGGGGUUCCCUCUGCCUCUGACUAGAUAAAUAAGGACUCCAUUAGUUCUGUCCCUGGGUAUUCUCUUCUUCCAACUCUAGGAUAGAAGAAGGGAGGGAAGGAAAUACAGUUUGAAUACAUGUUGCUAAGGCUGGACUACCAGCUGCUCAUGUCAGAUGUGUCGCUAAAUUUCUUUAGUGUUUCUUUCUUGAUGAUCUUUUGGCAAAGUUUAAUAAUUUGCCUUUUGUAAAAACAAAUUUUGUUUCCUUUUGCUGUUAACUGUGGAAAAAUAGUGAUUGUGGAGAUUGUGCACAUGAGUACAUUUGUGUUGAUUAAAUUAUUGGAAAACUUAAUUUAUAGGUAACAUAUGUUGUUUGCUCAGAUGAUUUGUAAAAGGUUUUCUUUUAAAUGUCUUUAUUGUAUUCAAAAGUAAAUUUCUUUUCUCCAAAAAAGCAACAAGAAAAAUGUAAGACACAUGAGAAAUCCCAGGGCUUCCAGGAUCUAAGGUCUUAUCAACAGCUUGUCCAGAACUUAAGCACCACACAGAUGUCUUGAAAGAAACUGUGCUAUAGUUUUUUGAUCAGUGAAUUAAAAACCACUGCCCAUUGAAAAUGCAGUAUUUGUCAUUUGGCUGAUUUCAAGUGAUAACAGACAUUCUUUAGUAUCUAAAAAUAAAGAAAUAAACACAAAUACAAUAAGUAAGAAGCAAAUAAAUUUUCCUGGGACACUGCCCAAGUAAAUGUGAUCUGGACAAGUAUUUUUGUAGAGGUCAAAUUGAUAAAGAUACUUCUCAUAGAUUUAUAUUCUUAACAAAAACAUUGCAAUAAUUCUCUCUACUAAACCAGAAUUAAAAUGCGGCUUUCUAAUAGAAGUGACUCCUCCAUUACAAUUUUUUAUUAUAUCAUUAGUUCUUAAAUUGGAUAUCUAGAAAGGAUUUUUUUUUUUCAGUACAUAAAAUGCAGCUUUUUUGGCUUCUUGUGAAUAUGAUAGAGAAUUGUAAAACAUAGGCUUUUUCUUAUGUUCUUACAGAAUAUGUCAGAGUGUAUAUAGUAGCAUCUUUGACAAAUUGAGCAAAUAUAGAAUAUGUUAGAAACUAUGGGUGGUUUGUGGGACAGGGGCUAUAGCAAGUUUAGGGAGUUGGUGGAUGCAGAAGAUAACUAUAAAAAUAUAUCUAGAAGGAGAAAAAGGCAAAGAUAGGGCAUGGUUAGAAAAUUUAUCUGUGUAGUAUGUUAGAGGGAAAGGCCUUAUGGUUAUCUCAGUGGAUGUGCUUAGUUGCUCAGUUGUGUCCGACUCCUUGCGACCCCAUGGACUGAAGCCCGCCAGGCUCCUCUGUCCAUGGGAUUCUCCAGGCACGAAUACUGGAGUGGGUUGCCAUGUCCUCCUCCAGGGAAUUUUCCCAUCCCAGGGAUCGAACCCAGGUCUCCCACAUUGCAGGCAGAUUCCUUACCAUCUGAGCCACCAGGGAAGCCCAUCUCAACAGAUACAUGAAGAUUACCUGACAAAAUUCAACACCUAUUUAAAAUAAAAGCUACUAGCAGACAAGUAAUAAAAGGGAACUUCCUUCACAGGAUAAGGGGUAUUGUAGUACAUAAGGUUAAUUGGGACAUAAGAUCUUGUCACUUUCCCAGAACUUUGGCCUUCAGACUUUAUUGAUAAUGACCACAAUAAGAAAUGGAUUCUUUCUCGUCCUUCUUCUUCCACCUCUUUCUAAUCUCUGUUUCUAUUUCUCUUUCUUCUUGCCUUACAAAUACCUACUAGAUGAAAAUGUUUAAAAUACUUUAAAAUAUGUAUAUAAAACUUUCAUGAAACAUGUUUGUUCUUAAGAUAGUUUAUAUUCUGUCCCAUUUUGUUUUUUAAAAUGCCAUUUGUGAUCCACUAAACCAAUGUCAUGACCUACUAGAAUAUAAAAAUCCAUGGUUCUUCUCUGUCUUCUUGUACUGCAGAGGCUUUAAAGCUAAGAUGUACAUUUCCCAAACACCCUUUGCAGCUAGGCUUCUAGGUGCAAUGAAGUUUCCGUCACUCAGAUUCAGAUGGAAUUGGGAAUGUGGGAGUGGGCUGGAGACUGUACUUGUGGUGGAUUAUUUUUUCCUACUGGGGUCUACAAAGAUGGAGGCAUUUGGUUUUGCUGAGGCAGUUUCAGCAGAGAUGUUGACAGUCAGGGGCAACACAUAUUAGAACCUUAAUAAGAUUUUAUUUUUUUUUUUUAACACAGAACCUGGAAAAAUAACUCUGGUUAAGGAAAAAUAAAGAUUCAAAAAUACUCAACAAUCCCAAAAACAUAAGACAAGCAAGAGACUUGACUUCCCAGAUAUUAAAACUUUUUGAAGCUAUGGUAUGAGUGUAACAAUAGAUAAGCAGAUCAGUAAAACAUAAUAGAAAUCUCAGAACAAGGGAAAGGAUAUAUAACGGGUUUGGCAUUUUUUGAAGAUGGUAUAACAACUCAGUGGGGAAAAAACUGAACAAUUAUUGUUGUGGCAACUAUUGGGUUUCCAUAUCAAAAAAUAAAAUAAAAUUAUACCCUUUCUACAACCAUAAAAAAAGUUCCAAAUGUGUUGAAGAACUUAAUGGAAAAAGGCAAAACUUUAAAAAAAAUUAUAAAAUGAUAUAGGAGAAUGUUCUUAUGACCUUGAGGGACAGAUGGAUUUUUCAGACAGUAAAAAUCACAAAUCAUUUUUAAGAAGAUGGGUUGAUAUGUUUCACUACAUCUAAAUUUAAAACUUCUUUCUAUAUGACUAGACACACCACAAAAUUAAAAGCAAAGCAAUAGAUUAGGAAAAGAAUAUUGGCAACUUCUGUAAAAGACAAAGAUCAGUAUCCAGAAUGUAGAAAGAAUUAGUGACGAUCAGAAAGAAAAAUAAGGAGGAAGCUUAUAAAAUAUAUUUUUAGGUAAUUUACAGCCUCACUAGAGGAUCAGAGAAAUGCAAAUUGAAACAAUGUUAAGUUAUUCAAAAUCCAUUAGAUUGGAAGAAAAGAGUUCUAAAACAACAUUUUAAAGAUACAAAGAAGAAGGAGUUUCUCUACAUUCUGAUAGAAGUAUAAAUUUACUUAUCAACUAGAUUGUCAAUAGCCAGUGAGGUUGAAAAAUGUAAACGUUCUGUGACACAGAAAUUCUACUUCUAUAUCUAUUAAUGUGUCAUAGAAGAGUUUUCAGAUAUUUUGAAGAAAACUGUUUCACACCGUGCCACACAUAGUACACAAACCUACAUAUCCAUAUCCAUAUGUACAUAUAUAUCACCAAUAAUUUUUUAUACAAUAAUAGCAUUACUAGAUGCAUUGCAUUGUAUUUUAUAUGCUAUUAUAUUUUACUUUAAAAUGAAUAUUGGUGAAGACACACAAAAAUGAUUUCACAAUUCAUAAGCAAAUAAAAGCAUGCAAUUGCAAGAAGUGAAACAUAAUACCUUUCAUAUUUACCUUAGUACUUGCCUAGUGUGCUUGUCUGCAAGUAGACAUGUACAGAGAUGUCCAUUAUAGUUGUAAUGAAACAAUGGAAUUAAAUACCUUCAGUAGGGAAAUGUAUGGAUACCAUUUUAUAUUCAGGAAAUGGAAUUAAACCUGGGACUUCCAUGCACAGUGGUGGAUGGAUGUUCAAUGUUGAAUCAAAUGUUAGCUAAUCUUUUCUAGACCAAAGUUAUUUCAUGGUUAAAUUCUUUAGUGAGUGACAGGAGAAUUUGCCAGUUAAAGAGAUCCAAAUGCUUUUUAGGCCAUACUUUACAGUCAAGACUGUUGUUGUUCUGUUGCAGAAAUACAAGUCUCACCAUUAUCCCUACCCAAAUGAAGAGUUAUCCCCCUUCCCUCUACAUCUGAAUUUCUCUUGGAAAAGAGCUUCGCAUCUCUGAAAACAUUUAGACCACUUCUCAACCGAGACCCUAGAGCUCUGUAAUAUAAAUCUUAGAAGAGAUUAGUUAUUUAUUGAAAAACAUCAGGGGCAGAUGUAGCCAAAUGAAUAUUAAAAUAACUUCAGUCUGGACCUUGCAGAACAAUUGAUUUUGAAUAGACUAGAUUCUGAUGGAAUUGCUUUGCUUCAAAAUAUAACUGGGUGAAAUGAUUGUGUAAGAUAGGUAAAGAUGCACACUCAACUUGGAGGUGAAUUUAAUAAUAAAUGAAUGAUUUACCAGUAUGUGGGCAGAGUUUCCAGAAACCACAGAAGAGAAGGCAGUAUGCAGAAGGAAGCCCAUUGAUACAGUCUGCACAGGUCAGCCUCCUAGGCCCAGCACAGGUUGAGGACUGGAUCUACGGAGGUAAACUGUUCAGCACUGGGAAACAUUUGAGAGUUGGUAAAUAUAUGUCACACCAGAUUAUGGUUUUUAAAUUGUAGAAGCUGCGAUAUGCUUGCUGGUGAUGAUACAAUAGAUUCAUUUGCUUCCGAGAGCCACUUUAACUAUUAUAGGUACAUUUCACCAUGUAUAGGAUGUUUGCUUUCCUAUUUGCUAUAGCAGGUGGCAUGCAUCCAUUUAGUUGUGUGGCAGCAUCCAGUUAUGUGUGUGUGAAUGUAACAGCGGAGGGACUGUAAAGCAGCGAUUCACUUUCAAAUAAAAUUAUUCCCAUACUGUGUAUUAUCAUUAUGUUUUCCACUGUAGUUUUCUCUGAAUGUGUACUAUAACCAAGAGAGAAGACAAAGAGUAUUUUGCUUCUACAGGUAGAAUAGCAGCAGAAUACACUGGUGGUUAGGAGAUGUCAAUCAAACUAACUUUUCCAUAAAGAUUCCCAAGACUCCUUUAAAAAAAUUUAUUUAUUUAUUUAUUUGUCUGUGCUGGGUCUUUGUCACUGCAUGGACUUUUCUCUGGUUGUGGCGAGCAGGUGCUACAUUCUAGCUGCAAUGCCCGAGCCUCUCGUUGUAGUGGCUUCUCUUGAUGGGGAGUGCAGGGUCUCGGACACACAGGCUUCGUAGGGGCAGCACAUAGCCUCAGUAGUUACGGCUCCCCAACUCUAGAGGACAGGCUCAGUAGUUGUGGCCCACGGGCUAGUCGGCUCCAUGGCAUGUGGAAUCUUCCCAAAUCAGGGAUGGAACUGGUAUCUCCUGCACUGGCCAGCAGAUUCUUGACCACUGAGCCAGCAGGGAAGCCCCCAAGAUCCUUUUUAGUUUACAUAAGUAAUUGGAUGCUGUAUUAGUUUCCGAUUGCUGCUGUAACAAAAUAUCACAAACUUUAGACAACACAGAUUUGUUCUAUUAGAUGUUUGGGAGUCAGACGACAGAGUGAGUUUUAAGGGGUUAAAAUGAAGAUGUCAGCAGGGCUGUUUUUCCCCCUGAGUCUUCAGGGGGAAAUCCGUUCCUUUGUCUCCUGCAACUUCUAGACAGUGCAGCAUCCCUUAGGCCUGGCCACAGCACCCCAGCCUCUGCUCCUGUUGUCUAACAUGGCCUUCUACUUGCUCUGAUCUGCCCCCUUCUUAUUAGUACCUCUGUGGCUACAUCAGGCCCUCCCAGAUGAUUCCAACUCAUCUCUCCAUUUCAAGAUCCUUAUCUGCAAAGUCCCUUUUGCCGUAAAAGGUAACAUUCACAGGUUCUGAUUAGCAUGUGAAUAUCUUUGGGGGCCAGCAGUCAGCUUAUUACGGGUGUCUUAAGUGCAUGUCACUGAAGUUUUCUAAGUGGACAGGACCUGCUGGCAUCAUCAGUGUAUACUUGUAAGUUUUAUGGGAAAACCUAGUCAUCAUCAAGAUAAGCUGGACUCAGACCAUGGGCAACCGCCACAAAUCUACAUUUAUUAAUGAGUUUAUAGACACAGUUGGCUAAACCUGAAGUCUCCCAGUUAUUGUUUAAAAGAAUAAAGUGCUUACAAAAGAAUUUAAGCCUAC